Molecule: ribosomal RNA, 465 nt
Filed under: uncultured bacterium
Lineage: Bacteria
Description: partial 16S ribosomal RNA
Rfam family: Bacterial small subunit ribosomal RNA
Source: RNAcentral
GACGAACGCUGGCGGCGUGCUUAACACAUGCAAGUCGAACGGAAAGGCCCCUUUGGGGGUCCUCGAGUGGCGAACGGGUGAGUAACACGUGAGUAACCUGCCCUUGACUUCGGGAUAACUUCAGGAAACUGGGGCUAAUACCGGAUAGGAAUCCUUGCUGCAUGGUGGGGGUUGGAAAGCUUCGGCGGUUUUGGAUGGACUCGCGGCUUAUCAGCUUGUUGGUGGGGUAGUGGCUUACCAAGGCUUUGACGGGUAGCCGGCCUGAGAGGGCGACCGGCCACAUUGGGACUGAGAUGCGGCCCAGACUCCUACGGGAGGCAGCAGUGGGGAAUAUUGCACAAUGGGCGGAAGCCUGAUGCAACAACGCCGCGUGCGGGAUGACGGCCUUCGGGUUGUAAACCGCUUUCAGCAGGGGCGAAGCUUGUGGUGACGGUACCUGCAGAAGAAGCACCGGCUAACUACGUG